AUGGGCGCAAGCCUGAUGCAGCAACGCCGCGUGAGGGAUGACGGCCUUCGGGUUGUAAACCUCUUUUAGUAGGGAAGAAGCGAAAGUGACGGUACCUGCAGAAAAAGCACCGGCUAACUACGUGCCAGCAGCCGCGGUAAUACGUAGGGUGCGAGCGUUGUCCGGAAUUAUUGGGCGUAAAGAGCUCGUAGGCGGUCUGUCGCGUCUGCUGUGAAAUCCCGAGGCUCAACCUCGGGCCUGCAGUGGGUACGGGCAGACUAGAGUGCGGUAGGGGAGAAUGGAAUUCCUGGUGUAGCGGUGGAAUGCGCAGAUAUCAGGAGGAACACCGAUGGCGAAGGCAGUUCUCUGGGCCGUAACUGACGCUGAGGAGCGAAAGCGUGGGGAGCGAACAGGAUUAGAUACCCUGGUAGUCCACGCCGUAAACGUUGGGCGCUAGAUGUGGGGACCAUUCCACGGUUUCCGUGUCGCAGCUAACGCAUUAAGCGCCCCGCCUGGGGAGUACGGCCGCAAGGCUAAAACUCAAAGGAAUUGACGGGGGCCCGCACAAGCGGCGGAGCAUGCGGAUUAAUUCGAUGCAACGCGAAGAACCUUACCAAGGCUUGACAUACACGAGAACGCCCUAGAAAUAGGGAACUCUUUGGACACUCGUGAACAGGUGGUGCAUGGUUGUCGUCAGCUCGUGUCGUGAGAUGUUGGGUUAAGUCCCGCAACGAGCGCAACCCUCGUUCUAUGUUGCCAGCGCGUAAUGGCGGGAACUCAUAGGAGACUGCCGGGGUCAACUCGGAGGAAGGUGGGGAUGACGUCAAAUCAUCAUGCCCCUUAUGUCUUGGGCUUCACGCAUGCUACAAUGGCCGGUACAAAGGGCUGCAAUACCGUAAGGUGGAGCGAAUCCCAAAAAGCCGGUCUCAGUUCGGAUUGAGGUCUGCAACUCGACCUCAUGAAGUCGGAGUCGCUAGUAAUCGCAGAUCAGCAACGCUGCGGUGAAUACGUUCCCGGGCCUUGUACACACCGCCCGUCAAGUCAUGAAAGUCGGUAACACCCGAAGCCGG
This 1049-nucleotide ribosomal RNA is filed under the name Leifsonia sp. CON39-7. RNAcentral's name for it is "bacterial SSU rRNA". It matches the Rfam family "Bacterial small subunit ribosomal RNA", at positions 371 to 1430 of the family's 1533-position model. The record is from RNAcentral. Lineage: Bacteria; Bacillati; Actinomycetota; Actinomycetes; Micrococcales; Microbacteriaceae.